UUUCCGUAGGUGAACCUGCGGAAGGAUCAUUACUGAGUUCUGGUCCGCGAGGACCGGUUUCUCUACCCCCUGAUAUUUGCUCGGUGGAGGCGUCAGAUUCGUGGGGUGACCCGCUGUCAGGCGCCGAAGCUGCUCAAUCUUUCGGCGGUCGCGACGAAAGUCCGGCCCCGGUAUGAAAAACAUGUCGAGAAUUUGAAGUCUGAGUGUGUACCAAUAAGCAAAACUUUCAACAACGGAUCUCUUGGCUCUGGCAUCGAUGAAGAACGCAGC
This 270-nucleotide unclassified non-coding RNA is filed under the name uncultured fungus. Its description in RNAcentral is "sequence contains ITS1, 5.8S rRNA gene". The stretch from base 222 to 270 matches the Rfam family "5.8S ribosomal RNA", at positions 1 to 49 of the family's 154-position model. The record is from RNAcentral. Lineage: Eukaryota; Fungi.